This 490-nucleotide ribosomal RNA is filed under the name uncultured bacterium. Its description in RNAcentral is "bacterial SSU rRNA". It matches the Rfam family "Bacterial small subunit ribosomal RNA", at positions 28 to 507 of the family's 1533-position model. The record is from RNAcentral.
GACGAACGCUGGCGGCGUGGAUUAGGCAUGCAAGUCGAACGGUAUCAUCCUUUCGGGGGUGAGAGAGUGGCGAACUGGUGAGUAACACGUAGGUUAUCUACCCUCAAGACGGGGGACAACCCAGGAAAAACUUGGGCUAAUACCGGAUGUGAGCAACUUUUAGUUGUUUGAAAGGUGGCGUAAGCUGUCGCUUGGGGGAUGAGCCUGCGUCCUAUUAGUUAGUUGGUGAGGUAACGGCUCACCUAGGCAAUGAUAGGUAGGCGGCCUUAACGGGUGGUCGCCCACACUGGGAUUGAGAUACGGCCCAGACUCCUACGGGAGGCAGCAGUCGAGAAUAGUCUACAAUGGUCGGAAGACUGAUAGUGCGACGCCGCGUGAACGAUGAAUCCCUUCGGGGUGUAAAGUUCUUUUAUAUGUGAGCAGUGCUUCUUAUAUUAACAGUAUGGGGAGAGAGAUAUUAACAUAUGAAUAAGCAACGGCUAACUCCGUG